This 82-nucleotide transfer RNA is filed under the name Clostridium sp. RNAcentral's name for it is "tRNA-Leu". It matches the Rfam family "tRNA". Rfam says of the family: Transfer RNA (tRNA) molecules are approximately 80 nucleotides in length. Their secondary structure includes four short double-helical elements and three loops (D, anti-codon, and T loops). The record is from RNAcentral. Lineage: Bacteria; Bacillati; Bacillota; Clostridia; Eubacteriales; Clostridiaceae. RNAcentral also lists the same sequence under 8 other names.
GCGGGUGUGGCGGAAUUGGCAGACGCGCUAGAUUUAGGUUCUAGUGGGCAACCCCGUGCAGGUUCAAGUCCUGUCACCCGCA